AUACGGAGGGUGCGAGCGUUAAUCGGAAUUACUGGGCGUAAAGCGUACGUAGGCGGUUGGUUAAGUUAGAUGUGAAGGCCCCGGGCUUAACCUGGGAACUGCAUUUAAAACUGGUGAACUAGAGUUGAGUAGAGGGGAGUGGAAUUUCAGGUGUAGCGGUGAAAUGCGUAGAGAUCUGAAGGAACACCAGUGGCGAAGGCGACUCCCUGGACUCGAACUGACGCUGAGGUACGAAAGCGUGGGUAGCAAACGGGAUUAGAAACCCCGGUAGUCC
Molecule: ribosomal RNA, 274 nt
Filed under: uncultured bacterium
Lineage: Bacteria
Description: partial 16S ribosomal RNA
Rfam family: Bacterial small subunit ribosomal RNA
Source: RNAcentral